This is a non-coding RNA of Otolemur garnettii (small-eared galago), 208 nucleotides long. The record is from Rfam. Lineage: Eukaryota; Metazoa; Chordata; Mammalia; Primates; Galagidae.
AAGAAGACACUUUCCUGGAUCAUUUCUCCAGUUGGUCACUGGGGCAGGUUCUCUGGACGUGUGCAGCUCCCAAAACCACCGGGAGGGGGCGCGCGCCCCCUCCUGAGCGAGAGGCCGGCUUAGCGUUGCGUGGCUGCACCUGCUCUUCGCCCCUUGAUGGCUGUCUCUUCCUUGCGCCGUGGGAGGGAGAGGACGUCAUCUGAGUGGU